ACACAAUGAUCUCUAUCAAAAAA
Molecule: small nuclear RNA, 23 nt
Filed under: Arabidopsis thaliana (thale cress)
Lineage: Eukaryota; Viridiplantae; Streptophyta; Magnoliopsida; Brassicales; Brassicaceae
Description: snRNA_06759
Source: RNAcentral